Molecule: ribosomal RNA, 254 nt
Filed under: uncultured bacterium
Lineage: Bacteria
Description: partial 16S ribosomal RNA
Rfam family: Bacterial small subunit ribosomal RNA
Source: RNAcentral
UACGUAGGGUGCAAGCGUUGUCCGGAAUUAUUGGGCGUAAAGAGCUCGUAGGCGGUUCGUCGCGUCGGCUGUGAAAACCUGAGGCUCAACCUCAGGCCUGCAGUCGAUACGGGCGGACUUGAGUACUGCAGGGGAGACUGGAAUUCCUGGUGUAGCGGUGAAAUGCGCAGAUAUCAGGAGGAACACCGGUGGCGAAGGCGGGUCUCUGGGGCAGUAACUGACGCUGAGGAGCGAAAGCGUGGGGAGCGAACAGG